AUGAAGACAGAGAUUGAGGAGGAAGGCACCAGAGGGUCCUGGACUGAGGAGGACAAAUCCCUUUGUGCUUCUGUGCUGGGCUUAGAUGCCUUUACAUAUCUGACAAAAGGUGGAGGUGCCAUAUCUGAAAAUCUCGUAGCAGCGUCUGGAUUGGUGGGCUUGCAAAAUAAACUCCAGGACCUGGUUGAAGCUGAUGGUGAAAGCCUUUGUUGGAACUACGCCAUCUUCUGGCAACUCUCCCACACCAAAUCUGGGGAACUUGUCCUUGGCUGGGGUGACGGAUCUUGCCGUGAACCCCAUGAUAAUGAGAUGAACUCGACUACUCGUGGUGAUAUUCAUGAUGCAUCUUCACUGAGCCAACAAAGGAUGCGUAAGCGAGUGUUAGAGCGACUGCAUACAGCAUUUGCUGGGGCUGAUGAGGAGGAUGAUGCUCUCAGAAUUGACCAGGUGACUGACACUGAGUUAUUCUUCCUAGCAUCCAUGUACUUUGCAUUUCCACGUCAUGUAGGUGGCCCUGGGCAAGUGUUUGCAACAGGUGCACCCCUUUGGAUUCCUAACAAUCCGCACAAGGUUUCCCCCUCAAAUUAUUGCUAUCGUGGAUUCCUUGCAAGUGCAGCAGGAUUUAGGACUAUUGUGCUACUGCCAUUUGAAGCUGGUGUACUUGAGUUAGGCUCAAUGCAGAAUGUGCUUGAGAGUGCUGAAGCUCUGGAAACCAUAAGGUCUGUGUUUCUAGGGGCAAGCAGUAAGAAGCCAGCAUCUGGGAAGCAUGAUGAGAAUGGUUCUGCUCAAAUAUCACCCGGUUUGGCUAAGAUUUUCGGGAAGGAUUUGAAUCUGAGCCGACCUUUAGUCAACACGGGAGCACUCCCAUUAAAAAUGAACGAAAGGUCAUGGGAUAUGCAGAAGAAUUGUGGUGGUGAGAGCCUGUUGCUCCCCAAUGUCCGGAAAGGUUUGCAGAACUUCACAUGGAGUCAGGCUCGAGGCCUGAAUUCUCAUCACCAGAAAUUUGGCAAUGGUAUUCUAGUUGUGAAAAGUGAGACUUCACAACGUAGCAAUGGAGCUGCACAUAGCCCUGGACUGAGCCCAUUUCAGAUCCGGAAUUCACAGCAGAUACUGACACAACCACCACCUCAGUCACAGACACCGAGGCAUAUAGAUUUUAGCGUAGGGUCUAGUUCAAAAUCUGGUGUUUUGACUUCACAAGCAGCUCCGUUGGGUGGGGAAAAUGGCAGUGUCGAUGGCUUGUGUAAGGAGCAAGUGGCCCCUACAAUGGAGGGCCAGCAACCAAGAAAGAGGGGAAGAAAACCAGCAAACGGGAGGGUAGAGGCACUUAACCAUGUUGAGGCUGAGCGCCAAAGGAGGGAAAAACUCAACCAGAGGUUCUAUGCACUGAGAGCUGUUGUUCCCAAUAUAUCAAAAAUGGACAAAGCAUCACUCCUGGGAGAUGCCAUAACGCACAUCACUGAUCUCCAGAAGAAGCUCAAAGAGAUGGAGUCGGAAAGAGACAUGUUCUUGGAGUCUGGUAUGGUAGACCGCAGGGUCCAAACACCUAGGCCAGAAGUAGAUAUCCAGGUGGUGCAAGAUGAGGUUCUUGUUCGUGUAAUGUCACCUAUGGACAACUAUCCAAUAAAUAAUGUGUUCCAAGCUUUUGAAGAGGCAGAAGUCAAAGUUGGUGAAUCAAAGAUCGCAUCCAACAAUGGGAAAGUUAUGCAUUCCUUUGUUAUCAAGUCCCCUGGCUCUGAACAGCAAACAAGAGAGAAAUUGAUUGCCGCUAUGUCUCGUGCAAUGAACUCCAUGUAG
Molecule: ribosomal RNA, 1797 nt
Filed under: Triticum aestivum (bread wheat)
Lineage: Eukaryota; Viridiplantae; Streptophyta; Magnoliopsida; Poales; Poaceae
Description: partial small subunit ribosomal RNA
Source: RNAcentral